UACGUAGGGAGCGAGCGUUAUCCGGAAUUAUUGGGCGUAAAGCGUGCGUAGGCGGUUUUUUAAGUCAAAUGUGAAAGCCCACAGCUUAACUGUGGAGGGUCAUUUGAAACUGCUGAGCUUGAGUGCAGGAGAGGCAAGUGGAAUUCCUAGUGUAGCGGUGAAAUGCGUAGAUAUUAGGAGGAACACCAGUGGCGAAGGCGGCCACCUGGACAGGUACUGACGCUGAGGUGCGAAAGUGUGGGGAGCAAAC
This 250-nucleotide ribosomal RNA is filed under the name uncultured bacterium. RNAcentral describes it as "partial 16S ribosomal RNA". It matches the Rfam family "Bacterial small subunit ribosomal RNA", at positions 524 to 773 of the family's 1533-position model. The record is from RNAcentral.